Molecule: long non-coding RNA, 1005 nt
Filed under: Macaca mulatta (Rhesus monkey)
Lineage: Eukaryota; Metazoa; Chordata; Mammalia; Primates; Cercopithecidae
Description: lncRNA (ENSMMUG00000052131.1)
Source: RNAcentral
CAGUCAAGAUGGUUGUGAGAAGGAAAAGACAUUCUUCCUCCAAUGACUACAUUAUAAAUGGCAUUAAAACCGUACAAUGAUACAGAGAUGAAGAGUCUAUUAAUCCUUCCUGCAGAAUCAGAGAAAGUUUUACAAUAAACUUGAUAUUUGAAUGUCAUAUUAAAAAAGAAAGAAAGGAUUUUAUCAGUAUGACAUGGUGGGGGUGACAUAUUUUUGCUAAAAGGAAUAGCAAGAAUAAAUGCGUGACAGGUUGAAAUUUCAUGAUGUAUUUAGGGAAUCAUGAAUCUGCUUGUGUGAUUGAAUAAAUGGGCAAAAGCUUGGACACUGUGGGAUAUAAGACUUGAAAGGACAACUGGGGCCAGAAUGUCAAGUAUUUUAGUAUAUUCUAACACCAGAGGAAUGGUUAAAAGUGCAAGAUAAUUUUCCUUGGAAAAUAUACUGGAACUUGUGUAUCAAUAGCUGCCUUCAAAUAGUCAAACUUCUAUAAUAUUAAAAAAUAGUUAUUUUCUGUGUGUCUGUGAAGAGAAAUUUAGAAACUAGUAGAUAAAAAUUGUAGCUACUAGGUGUGGUAGGUUGGAGCACUGAUCUCAAUUUUUUUUUUUUACUUUCUCUUUGCAUUGUAGUUAUGCAUUCAUACCCCUAGCCAUGUGUACAUGCAUCUUUUCCACUUGAAAUACGUAGUACAUUUUCAUGCCACAUUGAUGCUAGGCUGGUGUAUAAUAUGUGUUUUGAAGGAAUAAGGUGGCAGAUCUGAGGAAAGACUCUAACAUAAAUGGUUUUGCUAGCUUUCUGGAACUUCUCUCAACUGCGUUGAGAACUCCUUGAGUAGUUGCUGCUCCGAAGAGGCUGAGAAAACAUACCAAGCAAACCUGAUCUCAGCCCAAAGUAUGAAGACAAACUCAUCGGAAUUCAGCAAAGUCACAGCUCACCUACUUAUCACUGAAGCUGCAGCUGAAGAUCCUGCUGUGUCUCUGAGGAAAUACAAAAGGAAGAGAAAGUAUAAAC